AGCGCUCUAGAACUGUAUUGCAUUAAUUUAUAAACUUAAUGCGGCCAAAUCCGCAUAAAUCAAACGGGAGAGUCGGGUUUAAGCCGCAUUGCAUCACAGAUGAAAAAAAAAUUAAAAUUAAGAAACUUCUGCAACGUUUUCACGCCAAUCCUUCGUGGUUUCAUAUCACCCAAUCCAGCAACACCAAAUCGAUUUGACAAUCAUCGCUCGACGCCAUCAUUGACGCCUUCACAGUGCCGCGCGACACCAUAGCCACUGCUCCAUGAAGACGCCUUCACUGUGGAGAAGAUGAAGCCCAUAGAAGAAGAAGAAAGAAGGAGAAAAAGAGGAAAAGAAAAAUGGAAAACAAACUGAAGAAGAAAAGGAGGGAAAAAAAAAAGAAAAUGAGAUGAAGACGAAGAAAGAUAAAAAAAUGAAUAAAGAAGAAACAGAUCUGGAGAAGACGAAGGGAGGAGAGAGAGGAAGCAGAUAAUGAUACAUUCAAAAACAUUAUCCAAAAAAAGAAAAUUAAAAAAAAAGUAAAUAAAUAAAAAUAUAUGUUCUUUUAAUAAAUAAACAAAAAGUUAAUAAAUAUUAUUUUUUAAUUAUAUAUAAUUUAAAUUAAUAAAAAAUUUAAUACAAUACAAUGAAACACUAAAUAUAAUAUAAUUAAAAAUUAAUACAAUAUAAUAUUAAACCAACUGUCGUACAAUAUUAUUGUAAUUCAA
Molecule: long non-coding RNA, 707 nt
Filed under: Citrus maxima (pomelo)
Lineage: Eukaryota; Viridiplantae; Streptophyta; Magnoliopsida; Sapindales; Rutaceae
Description: long non-coding RNA (CMAX_LNC002050)
Source: RNAcentral